UGUGUGCCUUUGCAUGCAGGGCAUGUGAUGCGUCAGUGCAGUAGUGUUGGAGUAGUAGUGCUUGUAGUUAGUGCAUGCUGCUUCUGCUUGCCACUCUCUGCUUACAGCUACUGCCACCGGAUAGCCCUUUGUUUUCAGGGGUGAAAAGAGGAGCCGAGUGUGUAAGCCUCCUCAGCCGGUACGUAGCCUCUCCACUGCCAAGAUCUCGUACACGCCUCCCCGUGGCACACAUGGUGACUGGUCCCUUGUGGUUCCAGGCUAAGUUGUACGGGAUCUCGGAGCAGCAGUGGGCCCCAGAGACGUGGCAUGCAGGCCCAUCGGUGCCCUGAUGCCCGUCAUCCACUUUCCCAGUUAUGGGUAAAUAGCCCCAGCUAUGGAUGGCACAGGCGGAGUCCAACUGACCGGAUCACCGGCAGCCCCCUGCAACUCCUGCCAGACAAAGGUCGUCAUGGGUUCCCUCAUGCCACUGGAGGUCCAUCUGGUAGGAGUGAAGAUGGUGGGAGUGAGGUCUGCGCACCCACACCCUCACCUUAAUCCUCACCUAUGCGCAAGCGCCCCCCCUGCUGCUGAUGGACAUUGUGCUGAAGCGAGCAGUGAGAGUGAAGUUGUAGGCUACGAAACAUAAGAAAUGACCUGGAAGUUGCUAAAAACGCUUCUUAGAACUGAACAA
Molecule: long non-coding RNA, 670 nt
Organism: Sander lucioperca (pikeperch)
Lineage: Eukaryota; Metazoa; Chordata; Actinopteri; Perciformes; Percidae
Exons: 3
Source: RefSeq, a predicted model, not a curated record